RNAcentral lists this ribosomal RNA (832 nucleotides) under Mesorhizobium sp. Its description in RNAcentral is "partial 23S ribosomal RNA". It matches the Rfam family "Bacterial large subunit ribosomal RNA", at positions 2111 to 2925 of the family's 2925-position model. Lineage: Bacteria; Pseudomonadati; Pseudomonadota; Alphaproteobacteria; Hyphomicrobiales; Phyllobacteriaceae. The record is from RNAcentral.
UUGACACUGAACACUGGUCCUUGAUGUGUAGGAUAGGUGGGAGGCUUUGAAGCGUGGACGCCAGUCUGCGUGGAGCCAUCCUUGAAAUACCACCCUUUAAUGGCUGGUGUUCUAACGUGGACCCGUAAUCCGGGUUGCGGACAGUGUCUGGUGGGUAGUUUGACUGGGGCGGUCUCCUCCCAAAGAGUAACGGAGGAGCACGAAGGUUAGCUAAUCCUGGUCGGACAUCAGGAGGUUAGUGCAAUGGCAUAAGCUAGCUUGACUGCGAGAGUGACGGCUCGAGCAGGUGCGAAAGCAGGUCAUAGUGAUCCGGUGGUUCUGAAUGGAAGGGCCAUCGCUCAACGGAUAAAAGGUACUCCGGGGAUAACAGGCUGAUACCGCCCAAGAGUUCAUAUCGACGGCGGUGUUUGGCACCUCGAUGUCGGCUCAUCACAUCCUGGGGCUGAAGUAGGUCCCAAGGGUAUGGCUGUUCGCCAUUUAAAGUGGUACGCGAGCUGGGUUUAGAACGUCGUGAGACAGUUCGGUCCCUAUCUGCCGUGGGCGCUGGAGAAUUGAGGGGGGCUGCUCCUAGUACGAGAGGACCGGAGUGGACGCAUCACUGGUGUUCGGGUUGUCAUGCCAAUGGCACUGCCCGGUAGCUAAAUGCGGAAGAGAUAAGUGCUGAAAGCAUCUAAGCACGAAACUUGCCCCGAGAUGAGUUCUCCCUGAGACUUUAAGUCUCCUGAAGGAACGUUGAAGACGACGACGUUGAUAGGUCGGGUGUGUAAGCGCAGCGAUGCGUUGAGCUAACCGAUACUAAUGAACCGUGAGGCUUAACCUUACAACGCCGAAG